Non-coding RNA from Rickenella mellea, 90 nucleotides. Lineage: Eukaryota; Fungi; Basidiomycota; Agaricomycetes; Hymenochaetales; Rickenellaceae. The record is from the annotation of a GenBank genome assembly.
CUCUGGGUAGCUCAGUUGGAAGAGCGUCAGACUGUAAUUGGAUCAUGCAAAAUCAUCUGAAUGUCACUGGUUCGAACCCGGUCCCGGAGA